Dipodomys spectabilis (banner-tailed kangaroo rat) is the source of this 2699-nucleotide RNA transcript. It is a transcript of the gene named glucosamine-6-phosphate deaminase 2, with no coding region annotated. Lineage: Eukaryota; Metazoa; Chordata; Mammalia; Rodentia; Heteromyidae. The transcript is spliced from 8 exons. The record is from RefSeq and is a predicted model, not a curated record.
GCCCUUUCCUGCGCGCGGGUCUGCAUCCGGGUCUCCGGGCUGGGUGCACCCCGCGUCGGCUGGGCGCGUUCGCAGGUUGCCAGGUGUCCGUCGGUAGUUCCAGCUGUUCCGGCAUCCGGAGAGUCUGUGUGUCCGCAGGUUUGAAAACCAUAGGUUACCGUAAUGAGACUUGUCAUUCUGGAUAACUAUGACUUGGCCAGUGAAUGGGCAGCCAAAUACAUCUGUAAUCGUAUCAUUCAAUUCAAACCUGGACAGGACAGAUAUUUCACACUGGGUUUACCAACAGGGAGUACACCUCUAGGAUGUUACAAAAAACUAAUAGAAUAUCACAAGAAUGGAGACCUUUCUUUUAAAUAUGUGAAGACUUUUAAUAUGGAUGAAUAUGUGGGACUUCCAAGAAAUCAUCCUGAAAGCUAUCACUCUUAUAUGUGGAAUAAUUUUUUUAAGCACAUUGAUAUAGAUCCUAACAAUGCUCAUAUCCUUGAUGGGAAUGCUGCAGAUUUACAAGCAGAAUGUGAUGCAUUUGAAAAGAAAAUAAAAGAUGCAGGAGGAAUAGAUCUUUUUGUUGGAGGAAUAGGUCCAGAUGGUCAUAUUGCUUUCAAUGAGCCGGGCUCCAGUUUAGUAUCAAGGACAAGAUUAAAGACACUAGCAAUGGACACCAUUUUGGCAAAUGCUAAAUAUUUUGAUGGAGAUUUAUCAAAAGUCCCAACUAUGGCUCUAACUGUUGGUGUGGGGACAGUGAUGGACGCUCGAGAGGUAAUGAUCCUUAUAACAGGUGCACACAAGGCAUUUGCCUUGUACAAAGCCAUAGAAGAAGGAGUCAGCCACAUGUGGACAGUUUCAGCUUUUCAGCAGCAUCCUCGAACUAUUUUUGUGUGUGAUGAAGAUGCUACUUUAGAAUUAAGGGUUAAAACUGUGAAAUACUUUAAAGGUUUAAUGCAUGUGCACAAUAAACUUGUGGAUCCACUAUUCAGUAUGAAAGAAGGAAUUUGAAGGAGACUGGAGCAAAAUUCUGCUUGAAAGAAAGAACACUUUUUUAUUACAGAAAUUUUCUGCUAUGCAAUAUAAUUAUGGGAAAUUUUGAAGAUUGCCAUUUAAAAAUACAUGUUAAACAUUCCAUCUUUAGAUUUAGAAGUAGUUUGUGCUUAAAUUUGGUUGGCUGUUUCUUAGAAAGUACAGAAGCUCUAUAGCCUCCUGAAAAAUAGCAUAGAAAUGAAUGUCUGCCUAGUUAAAGCUUGUUUUAGAAAGAUUCUGCACAUCAAGUGUGUCAUAGAUGUCUAUUUUUUAAUUAUGAAAUGACACUCCACAUCUUUCUGAUGUCAAAUCCCUAUUAUCACAGACCUUUGCUGUUGGAAGAAGCCUGUAUUUUCUGUGAGUCACACAUGUUUCUGCACGUGAUUGCCUUAGUCAUCUUUCUGUAGUAGUAACCUGGACAUCAGAUGUCCUGUUAUACAUUGCUGGUUAAGGAAAUCUGAAGAGAUAACAGUGCCUAAAAGUACAGUUUACAUCUUUUUGCAAAGUGUGUGUAAAUGUGUUUUUGUGUACCUUCUAUUGCACUUUUUUUACAAAUAUGCUUAUUUUUAUUUAAUGGUCUCAUAUCCUUAAUGAGUAUCUUGGCAGUUAUGAGCUUUAUACCUAGUUAGCUUCAAACUGAAGAUUAUUCUUUUGAAAAGUAUUUUGAUUAUUGUUAAAUUUCAUUAGCAGCUUUUGUUUCAUAUAUGUGAAAUGUCUAAAGUGAUAAAAUGAAGUGUAUAUAAAAGGAAUCACUGUAUACUAUUUAAGAUUGUCCUAACAAUUUGCAUAAUUAAAUUGCAAAUAAAAUUAUAUCGUUUUCUAUCUUUAACUCAAAUAAAGCUUACAACAUUAAUAAAAGAUUAUUUAAAUUUUAUUUGCAGAAGUGAAAUAAAGAACACAUGCAUUUGGGAGAUUCCAACUAUUAAUAGUCCCUUUUCAGGUUCAUCUAUGCAGUAGCCUUCUGGAAAGCAAAACACAUUAAGAAUCUCAAUGCACUGAAAAUAAAGCUGAGCCCUCCUAUAUGCACUAGCCGAGUUCUUCUUGCCAGUAGGUGGUUAGGCCAUUCUGUCAAGAGCUUUGGCCAAAUAUUAAAGAAUCAACUGUUGUGUUCUUCUGCAUCAUCAUCCUAUCUCACCCCUUUCUAACCAGCAUUCUUGCCAAGCUAUUACGUGUAACUUUUCUCAUCACUACGACAAAUACCUGGCAGAAACAACUUAAAGAGAGUGUGUUCAGCUCAUGGUUUUAGUACAUCAGGUGUAGGAAGGGUGUGGUAGAACACAGAAUUUGACAUGGGGACCAGGAAGCAGAAAAAAUGCCCGUGUCCUUGUAAAUGACUAAAAUUGUUUACUAAAAACAACUCUUACAAUCAUAAGUUAUAUAAUAAGUGUAAAAGCUAUAGGUGUCUUUUGGUAUGCUACUGUGUUGCUUCUGAGAUUUAAAGGUAUAAGAUCUCUUUCUCAUUAUAGCAAUGAUUAUGUUCAGGUCCUCCUCAAGUACUUCAGCAGAACUGUUCUCUGGCCAUUACAGCUCCCUAUCUCAGAAGAAACAAUGCUUUAAGAAACUUAGAAGCCUAUGAAAGACAUUUCACAAGGAGCAGUAAAUUUGUUUACCUUUGAAGAAGGAAACCAUUGUUCCAAGUUCUAUUUGUCAGUGAAAUCUAGACAAUAAAUGUCAGCUUCUUUCCA